UUUUGGGAAAGUUCAUAGUGUAAGCCUUUUCAGAAACAUGGGCUCAGAAACUGGCUUACAAGACAACGUUACAUUCUGGCCCAUCUUUCAUAGUGGGCAAGAAUAACCCCAUUCCGGCGGACAGGAGCGCAGUCCUUCAACACGCCACAAGCCUUUCCUCCUCUUCGUCACCCACCGCCGACGGCUAGCCAUGUCCGCCGAGCCCACCUCUCCGCCUCUAUCGACGGCGCAGGUCCGCGGGAGCCUCAUCCCGCCGCUUCCAGACGACUUGGCUGUCCACUGCAUCGCUCUCUUGCCGCGCGCCGCGCACCCAUCCCUGGCCCUCGUCUCCCGCGCUUUCCACGCCCUCCUGUGCCGCCACCCGGAGCCGCUCCUCGCCGCGCGCCGCACCCUCCGCUGCUCCGAACCCCACGUCCUCCUCUCCCUCCGCCCACCCUCCUCCGCGUCCCCUAUCUUCUUCCUCCUGCUCCCGCACCCCGGGUGGCCCCCGCUCCCGCUUCCCUCCCCUCCCGUCCCCGUCUCGUCCUCCGCGUCGGCCGCCACCGACGGCGCCCGGCUCUUCCUCGUCGGCGGAUCCGUAUCCGCGGUCCCCUCUGCGUCCGUGCAGAUCCUGGACCCCCGGGCCAGAUCCUGGUCCGCCGGCCCGCGCCUGUCCUCUACGCGGGAGUUCGCCGCGGCCGUCGCGCACUCCGGGGCGCUGUUCGUCGCCGGCGGCUGCAUCCCCUCGUCCCCUUUCUGGGCCGAGGCUCUCGACCUCUCCACUCCGAACGCCAAGUGGAGAGCCGUCGCCAGCCCGGCCCACCUCCGCGAGAAGUGGAUGCACGGCUGCGCGUCGCUCGACGGGAAGGUCGUUGUGGUGGCGGACCGUGGCGGCUUGUCCUACGAUCCUUCGGCGCCACCUGCGGAGGCGUGGGCACCGGUGUCGCCGGUGCUUGACAUGGGAUGGAAGGGCCGAGCUGCAGUGGUUGAGGGAAUCCUCUACUCUUACGAUUACCUGGGACAGGUCAAGGGGUAUGAUCCGUACACUGAUUCUUGGAGCACAGUGGAGGGGUUGGAGGGGGAGCUACCUAAGUUCUUGUGCGGCGCCACACUUGCCGAUGUUGGAGGAUUGCUCUACUUGGUUUGGGAAGGAAAGUGGAAAGGGAAAUUAAAAGGUAAGAUGGAAAUGAGGAGCAUGGUAGUGAUUGAAUGGGCCAGCAUUCAGAUUACAAGGGUCCAAGAGGGACGGCUAAGAGGAAAGGUUGUCUCUAGGGACACUGUUCUGUUCCCGGAUAUGCCAAGAGGUUCAACGAUCACACAUUGCAUUGCAUUGGAGUUGUGAUGCAGCAGAUGCAGAUGUAAAGCAGGAAUAACCGAACAAAACCUUAGCGGACAGGGAUGGGAGCAAUUUAAUCUCCACGGGGAUUGAAACAGCAAAAAGUUAGUCCCUGUUAAAUAUAUAUUGGACGGAUGAUAUUUAUGUUUGGAACCAAGCUUGUAUCAUUAUUCAGUUUGUGUUCUUGAAUGUCUGGAUCACAGUCAUUGAUAAAUGACUUGUCAGCAUUUCACCUGCACAGGUCACCUUGAUCAGCAUUUUAAAAGUUCCAAUUUCUUCAUUCAGCUGUACUGCUGCCUGCUUGCGAGAAGUGAGCUAGUUCUUGGUCACUGGAAUGCCCUUCAGCGUCAGUAAAUAGUCACCUAUUCUCGUUACUGCUGUAGGUUCCAACGAUGAUUCAGGCGGUUUGUUCCACUUAUAUUGGCUUUCAAGGCUUGCUGGCUAACGGUUGAUAUCAUGGGGCCAUUGCAACAGAAAAAUACUUCAGUUGUGUUGAUUAGAUAUGCCAUCAGUUAGUCCAGUCGGUGCUGAUUAUGCUGAUACAUUCAUGACACGGUUAUAUUCAGCCAGUGUACCAUUUAUUAGUAGUUGUAUAGCAGGUACUCUGUUAGUCUUGCCCCUGUUCCCAAACAAACUCUUUUAGCGGUCACACUUGUUAGAUAUUAUUUCGGGGUGUUUGAAUGUACUAGACCUAAUAGUUAGUAGCUAAAAUUAGUUGAAGAGAUUCAAACACCCUAGCUAAUAGUUCAACUAUUUGUUAGCUAAUAAUUCAACUAUUAGUUAUUUUUAGUAAAUUAGUUAAUAUUUAGCUAGCUAUUUGUUAGCUAGAUACUUGCACUAGCAAAUUUUUAGCCAGCUAACUAUUAGCUCUAAUGCAUUCAAACACCCUAUUAGUGUAUCUGUACGAAGUCUCUUGAGUUGUGGCACCGAUAGGUUGCAUUCUGAGGCAUCAUUAGAGUAUACCCACCUAUUUUUGUGCCAAAAUGCCAUGCCAUGGAUCACAUCUCAGUACUAGCCAUGUCAAAGAAACGUUCUUUCAUCCUCAGGCAUCAAAUGAUGGAAUUUUAGUAUGUCACUGAAUUGCAGGAACAAUAUUCCCGAAGUAUCGCAAUGCCUUCAUCGCAACUCCUUGAGUGAUCCCAUCAUUCUAAAGAUAUAUGUAAGAAUUGGAAGUUCAAAAUUGGUCCGCCUAGAAUUUCUGUGCAUCUUAGAGCAUCUCCAAGAGGGGUCUUAUUAAACAAGGUUGUAUAUUGAAAUAUAGGGCUUGGGACCUAAGAGCAACUCCAGUAGUUCUCUAAAAGACUUCCUAAAUCAAUAAUUUAGGUAGUUAACAUGAAAACUAUUCUCCAACAGUUCUCUAAAUGAACUUUCUAAAUUUAACAACUUGUCAUCUAACCUCAUUUUCUCUCUACAUUUGGCAACCAUUUAACAACUCCCUAAACAAAAAUGUUGACUGCAUUAUAUAGUUUUUGUGACUUAUUUUUUAUGUGGAUAAAUACAAAACAAAAUUACAACCUAUAUUUAGAGAACUAUUGGAGAACUCAUAUUUUUUUACUCUAAAAGUCAUUUAGCAACUUCUUAAAUCUGUAAUUUAGAGAGCUAAAAUUUACAUAACUAUUGGAGUUGCUCUAAGCGGUGACCCUAUUUCAUCAAAAUUUAUCAAAUGAUUAUAGGGUUUGGCAUCUGAGGUUCUAAAUAUAGUAUCACAUAUAUUGAAGUCCUAUCCUUAUUUUCUCUUAAUCUACAACUAUUUAUUUUCUUAGAUAGCAUUAUUUGAGGCCAAACUGUUGGAGUAAAUUUCUUUUGAGGCACUAAACACUUUAAUAAUGGUUCUAUUUCAAUUCUAAGGCGCUAUUUUAGAGUUCUUUGUUAGAGAUGCUCCAUGUAAAACUUACUCCCUUUGGUGUCCUAUUAGUUGUUGUUUUGGAUAAGGUUUGAGUCAAACUUAUAAAAUUUUGACUAUAAAUAAUUUUUUGUUGUUUAUUUUUGAAAUCUAAUAUUUAUAUGCAUCGAUUUAUAUUAAAAAGUAUUUUUUUUAUAAAAGUAUAAAUGAAUUAAGAGUUUAUUUGUAUAUUUUUUUAAAUAUUUGUCAAAGUUAUAUUUUGGAGACCGUCUAAACGACAACUAAUAGAACACCGAAGUGAGUAAUCUUUAGCCAAGCGUGUUGCUUUUUUUACUUGCAGGGAGCAGACAAUGCUAAGCCUCGUGGUCACGGUGUGUUUCGAUUCGACUGGCUACAGGUGUUCGGACGGCUACAAAUGCAAUACAUAAAGAUAAAAUACUAAAAUAGUUAUAGCCGCAGUCGGAUUAAGCCACAGUCAGGAUUAAAACCGUAGUAAACAGCCAUGGUUGAGCGCUUGGGAAGGACAUCAUCCGCUUGGAAUCUUCAGGUCUUUGAAGUAGCGAAGUUUGACGGCAAAGAAACUACCUGGACUAGCCACUGUAAGGUGUAGAUGGAUAUUACUUGUUUUGUUUCUAUAUUUUCUCUCCGGAUUCGGAUAUAAAUAUAAAUAUUAUCGAGUUUUGGCGGUUCGAGUGACUAUUGAUAUUUUAUAUAUUUACUAGUCA
Molecule: RNA transcript, 3883 nt
Organism: Zea mays
Lineage: Eukaryota; Viridiplantae; Streptophyta; Magnoliopsida; Poales; Poaceae
Exons: 3
Source: RefSeq, marked validated